This 499-nucleotide ribosomal RNA is filed under the name uncultured bacterium. Its description in RNAcentral is "partial 16S ribosomal RNA". It matches the Rfam family "Bacterial small subunit ribosomal RNA", at positions 28 to 507 of the family's 1533-position model. The record is from RNAcentral.
GACGAACGCUGGCGGCGUGCCUAAUACAUGCAAGUCGAGCGAAGUUUUUCUGGUGCUUGCACCGGAAAAACUUAGCGGCGAACGGGUGAGUAACACGUAAAGAACCUGCCUCAUAGACUGGGACAACUAUUGGAAACGAUAGCUAAUACCGGAUAACAGCAUUAACUGCAUGGUUGAUGUUUAAAAGUUGGUUUUGCUAACACUAUGAGAUGGCUUUGCGGUGUAUUAGCUAGUUGGUGGGGUAAAGGCCUACCAAGGCGACGAUGCAUAGCCGACCUGAGAGGGUGAUCGGCCACACUGGGACUGAGACACGGCCCAGACUCCUACGGGAGGCAGCAGUAGGGAAUCUUCCGCAAUGGGCGAAAGCCUGACGGAGCAACGCCGCGUGAGUGAAGAAGGAUUUCGGUUCGUAAAGCUCUGUUGUUAGGGAAGAAUGAUUGUGUAGUAACUAUACACAGUAGAGACGGUACCUAACCAGAAAGCCACGGCUAACUACGUG